AUCGCUUCUCGGCCUUUUGGCUAACAUCAAAUGUAGUACCUGUUCUUAUUAGUUUAAUAUCUGAUAUGUCCUCUAUCCAAGUGCCUGCCCUGUGGACUCAAACUCCAGCAUCAGACAUGAAGACAGAGAUUGCUUAAGCUGCUCCCACAAUCAAUUGUAU
RNAcentral lists this small nuclear RNA (160 nucleotides) under Microcebus murinus (gray mouse lemur). Its description in RNAcentral is "U2 spliceosomal RNA (ENSMICG00000025062.3)". The stretch from base 1 to 107 matches the Rfam family "U2 spliceosomal RNA". From Rfam's summary of the family: U2 is a small nuclear RNA (snRNA) component of the spliceosome (involved in pre-mRNA splicing). Complementary binding between U2 snRNA (in an area lying towards the 5' end but 3' to hairpin I) and the branchpoint sequence (BPS) of the intron results the bulging out of an unpaired adenosine, on the BPS, which initiates a nucleophilic attack at the intronic 5' splice site, thus starting the first of two transesterification reactions that mediate splicing. The record is from RNAcentral. Lineage: Eukaryota; Metazoa; Chordata; Mammalia; Primates; Cheirogaleidae.